This 4114-nucleotide unclassified non-coding RNA is filed under the name Leishmania donovani. RNAcentral describes it as "gene:LdHU3.27.2380(CDS-product:hypothetical_prote in_conserved)". Lineage: Eukaryota; Euglenozoa; Kinetoplastea; Trypanosomatida; Trypanosomatidae. The record is from RNAcentral.
UUUGAAGCGCGGUCAUGCCCGUCGCGUCAUAGACUCACACGUAUGCACAUGCGGUGACCCAUAGAUUUCACAAGGAUAAAGAGUACCGUUGUUGCUUCUCAUUGCUGAUGAGCACCACGGAUCCGUACUCGCUGUCCCCGCAGAACAGUGCGGUGGAGGCGACACUCUUUCAACUGCUGUUUCCAGUUCACGUUACCCCUGCUACCCGAGUUGCUGUGGGAGACGUUAUUGCAGUGAAGACGCUAAGCGAUAAUUCUCCUGAGAGAAUCGCUGGGGCACUUGCGGUGUCGUCGCCGUCGGUCUCCGAGCGAAUUCGAGCGUGGGAGACAGUGCCUCAUGGGCGUGCAGCGCGCUCGUUCCGUCGCACGGAACGCACCGAGUUUCACAACCCUGACGAUCCCACGUUGCUACAUACUGUGCAUGCGCAGCAGCGGCAUGGCGCGUCUGCCGCGAAGGGUUCACGUGCGCGACACUCCGGUGCAGUGGGGCCGGAUCGCAGCACUGAUGCAAGUGCUGGCCCUAAUACAGUGCCGUUCUCGAUGCGUUUGCGAGAAGUGGAGCGGCGAUUUCAGGAACAGAUGAAGGUGCACCGCGGUCUGACGGCGGCGUCCCGCCAAGUCGAUGUCCUUGAGCGUUCUGUUCAACUGUUUCAAGCAGAGCGGCGCACGCGAGCGUUCGCGCAUGCACUUGCAGAGCGUCAAGACGCCAUCUGGGCCCGUGUGUGGCCUGGUGGUUCCCUUCCGAAGACGGAGGACACUGUAGCGACUGUGCAUCGUCAAACGGCAGCAUCGUCUCGUGCUGCACCCAUGCCGGCCGCGCGCCGUGGCGACAGCUCUGCGACACCUUCGACCAGCAGCGCUAUCUCACCCCCGCCCCCCGCGUCCCCGACGGGCUUCUUGCUCAAGGAUAUCCUAGACACCUACUCAAAGCCGCGUGAGCUUCGAGAGGCUAGCGGCAGCGGCCGAAGUGCGGCGGCUGCCGCUCCUGCUGCAUCAAAGGCGACGAAGGCGCCAAAAGGAGUCCCACUCGCCCUGGCACGAGAAGCGCGGAGGACUGCCGCUGAGGUAGAAAUUAUCCGCCCCGAGAAAACACCGAAACCUUACACAGUCAUCCGCUACGUCGAGGCAAGGUCGAAACACGCCUCAGCCACACACGACGCUGUCGACCGCCAGGGCACCUCGGCAUCCUCGGCUGUCACCCCGGCCACCGCGGCAGCGGUGUCCGCAGCGUACUCGAAAAACGUCGCGAGGGGGGAAGUGAAAGGGGACUCCUCGCAAGCGUUCUCCAGCGUUGUGAGCGAGGUGAAUGAAGCGGGCGAAGUAGGCGGAGGCAAAGCCUCCGAUCAGAGCAGUGCCAGCGUCGCCGAUGAAGCCGCGCCGAUGAAUGACACGUACGACGCGGACACGUUUGACUCGCACGUCUCCAGUGGAACAGCUGCGGAUGCUUCGAUGAGCAGCGCGAAGAGCUCUGCCGUGAGCAGCAUGAUUCCUACGGAGGAAGCGACGCCAUCCUCCCUGGCGCAGAGCAUCACCUCUGAAGAGAUCGAAAGUGCAGCUGCUGGGCGUCCGUUGAGGUGUAACCGCCGUGACGGUAAUAAGAGUAGCGGCGUCUCCGUGGCCGAUGACGCGCGCGCAGCACCCUUUGCUGAAACCCUGCAAACUUUCUUGGACGCCUGUCGGUGCGUCUCGGCUGCCUCUGCUCGACUGCUCCAGUCCCCGUAUAUUCGAGAGAGCAGCCAUGAUGCUGGUCAGCACAGACAAAACACCCCGAAGCCGGCGAAAAAAGAUGCCCCGCGUUCAGCCCCGAAGGCAGUGGAAGAUGCUGCAUCGUGUGUCACCGCGGAUGCAGCCACUGGUGCAGAUGUCUCUCCACCUGCUUGGCGUGACGCCCUGCACCGGCAGCUACGCAACAUACGUCGCCUUCAGCGCUUUCGUGAGCACCUGCUUCGCCACCUGAAGCGCAUUGAUGUGCAGCGGCAGACUCACUGCAAGGCGACACGACUGCUGCGGGAAACGCAAGCCCUCGCCAAAGUACGUCGUAAACUGCUCUCCGGCUCCAGAGUCGGGGGCGAAGCAUCCUUGGGGAGCAUGCUGCGUCACGUGAAGGGCGUCUCCACGGGAACAGGUGGGCGGAGGGGCCCGCGCCGCGGUGGCGGUGCGCAUGGCCACGGCGCUCUGCGGCAACAGCAUUCCCUGCCUUCGUGGCUGAGAAUGAGUGUCGUGAGCGACGCCGACACAAUAUCGGAGGUGGUACUCACCGACAUGAACAGCAGCGUCGGCGACGGCAUCAUCUCAGCUGACUCCAGCGUAGUGGAGGAGGAGAUGCAGUAUGGCAGCAAUCAGAGCGAGACUUUCGUCUCGGGCAGCAUCAUCCAGGAAGAGGUGGCCAGCUGGGAUGGGGCCUCCGGGCACAGCGACGUGGCCAGCGGUGGCACCGUCUUGACCGAAGUGUCCAGGAGCCAUGAGGGCGACGGCGACCCCUCUUACGGCAGCGACUCCUUUGAAGCAGCGAGUAACUCAGACGCCGCGGGACGUUCUGCGUGGAUCGCGCGGUCUGGUAUGGUGGCGGAAGUCCGCCUAGACGAGAUCGAGGAGGAACUCGCAGACCGAUUAGCCGAAAUAUCGUCGGAUGCCAUCUCCGAAGGGAGCUCGAUUCCGUCCGAGGUGGAAGAGCUUGUUGACCUGCUCCCCUCCUCACUCAUCCCAAGCGAAAUCGAAGACGACGACGCGAGCCCGCAAGGCAGCUCUGCAGCCACCAUGGACUCCUACAUUGCCACUGACAUGAGCAGUUCCGCGGCAGUCUUGCAGGGACAGCAACGACGCAUGUAUGUUGCUGCAAAUGGCUCCACCGCGUGGUAUGCAGCUGCCGGAGAAGGGGCAGCGGGUGGUGUCAGCGGGGCGCUGACGGAUCACAAGGCCUACAUUCGUGACUCUCCUGGCUCUAGUGUGUACAGCGUGCCGGAGGACGCCGAUGUGGACACAUCUAUGCCGCAGUCCACAGACGUCCGCUCGGAAGGCGCCCGAGACUCGCUGCCGAGGACGAGUGGAAGGGUAGCGGACCUUGACGCGGCAGCAUCCCUCGCGGCGGCGAACGAGAAGCGUAUUUAUGGAAGACCCAGUCCGACCCCCUCGGCCAAGAGUGACGGGAGCAGCAGCAGCUCUGAGGAUGCCUUGACAAUGUUGGAGGUGGACAUGACCCUUACGAAGGGGCGUCGGCACCACGCGUUACGCUGUGCCUCUGAUGUGCCGACGUUUGAGCAGCUCUACAGCCCAUCCAUGCCCCCGCUGGAUGAAGGGCCACUGACGGGAAGCGGCAACGCCAGCACCACUAGCUCUGCCGGCAGCGGCCGGUCCUCCAAACCAGAUCGACGGAAAGGUGGAUCUGCCCACAGUGUCGGCAUAGGGUGGUCGAACACCGCAGUCUCUUCCCUUCACGAACGAGGUGCAGCGCACCUUGUGCACCAUCCGACAGCGCGGAUGGAGGCCGGCACACAGGCGGAGAUGCGCGCCGUGGGCAGCCACCCCACGGCCAUAUGUGGUGCUUCACGGAUGAGAGCGACAUAUCCGACCAGGGACUACGUUGCGCAGAGUGCGUGGAAGGCACGUCAGCUACAUCUCUUGCGGCAGCUGCGAUCACCGAUUGUGGAUGACUCAGAGGGCACGGCCAAGAACUCAGCGGAGGCUACCGACAGCCCAAGUCGCGCUUUUGAGCAGCGGCAUCGUCCGCCGAAGGACAAGGCCGAUGCCGUGCUCGACGCCGCCGAAGCUGUAGCACUUGAGGAGUGGGCGCAGCACUGGGGUGUUGUGGAGUCGCUGCUGCAGACGCGUUUUUCCGCGUCAUCCUGCAUCGGUACUGGCGAGCCACCGUCGUCCUCGCGUCGCACAGGAAAGGCCCUCUUACAGCGCUUCCCGUCAGAUUCAACGCCACUUACUUGGGACGCUUCUCAGUCGAGUGUGCCGGGGUCCUCUGCAUCACGCUGAGCGAGCUCGCGCCUCUCCCUCCCUCGGAGAGGUCAGAGGCCGCGCGUGCCUCGCGAUUGCAGAUCUGUCGAAGUCUUGUCAUGCGCAUGCCUCUUUUUGCUUGCUUUUGUGCAUGACGGUGGGAUGUGCUGGGG